RNAcentral lists this long non-coding RNA (1024 nucleotides) under Cervus hanglu yarkandensis (Yarkand deer). RNAcentral's name for it is "lncRNA (ENSCHYG00000007709.1)". Lineage: Eukaryota; Metazoa; Chordata; Mammalia; Artiodactyla; Cervidae. The record is from RNAcentral.
ACUGGAGGGAGAUGAGGAGGUGAGUGUGGUCCUGGGUCACGCCAAUGCAAUGCAACGUGUUCGCCUGAUUCUAAAAAUCCUCAGUAACACUUUUUAAUAUACAAGAGUCAAAAGUACAGCAGUUUUACAAUGUAGGAAAAUUUAAUACAUACUAUAUAAACAACAUUAUUUACAUCAGAAAUCACUAGGACAGUGGCAUUUUUCACAAAUAUAAAUUAAUUACUGUUUAGUCAACAGAUUUUAAAAGUCCACAAUUUUACAAUAAAGAAAAAUCAUCCGUCCCCAACCAAGUGGGGCGCAGAUGGACUAAAGCAGGCUGGGCCCCUGGCCUGGCUCUCCUCGCUGACACGGCCGCCCCAGACGAGCCGGGGGCCCACCGCUCCUGCUGACGAGUGGGUUUUGGUCUGUAGGAUUCCCGUGUCGCUGUGUGAAUUCCUAACUGGGUUGCGUUUGCACCGCGCGCCCUGAUGCGGCCCUCAGGUAUCGGGGGUAUCGGGUUAGGUCUGCAGCACGACGUGAGAGGUGUCCUGGGUUCCCGUCGGAGGGUGUAAGGAGGGAAUGGCUGGAAGGAGGGGGAGCCCAGGGCAGUGGCCGAUGGGGGGACCAGCCUGUGGUGACCCCUUGCUCUUUCUACCCAGUAACUACAUCCUUCAGAGCCACAGAAAACCAUCCUCAGAGACUCCGGGGGAGGCUUCUCCCAUCCACGAGUGAGAGAAUUCCUAUCUGUGCAAAUUUCUGGUUUCGACAGAAGCAUACAGUAUUCAUACUGACAACGAGGAAAUGCUUCCUCUCUCCCAACCCACUCUGCAAACACACUCCGGCACCUAAGACAGAUGCUUUUAUGAGGAUACUGUACUUUCUGUAAUCAACUUAACACUGAUCUGGCUGAUACUAUAGCCUUUUGCUGCAGCAUAUGGCACUAGAAGUCCUGAAUGUGAACAAAAGGAAGCUCCUUUUUCCUCAUGACGAGACAUCUUUGGGAAUAACUCACAUCUCCUAUCAACAACUUCAGAGGAAAAAAACC